Molecule: long non-coding RNA, 930 nt
Organism: Lycium barbarum (goji berry)
Lineage: Eukaryota; Viridiplantae; Streptophyta; Magnoliopsida; Solanales; Solanaceae
Exons: 3
Source: RefSeq, a predicted model, not a curated record
UGAAGGACCCUUGGGCCAAAUCAAAGUGGAAGCCCUCCAAACGAAUAUUUUUAAGAAAACGUUUUCGGGUGACCUGACUUUGAGGGGCAAAAAAGGUAUUAUAAGUUUGGAAUUUGGAAAAAUACCAAGAAAUAGAAGUUGUAGAUAAUUGAAUUAGCUUUCCAACCAUAGGUCAUGGGUUCCCAGAUGACGUCGGUACAAAGAGAUAUGGACGUUUUAAGGUCGAAAGGUCAGUGGGCUAGGCCCAACUCGGGACCAACCGGGUUAGGCCCAAAAAAAAAGAGAAAAUUGAGGCCCAAGUGAGGAGGUGGCCGGCCAUGGUCCUUAAUAAAGGACCCAAGCCCAUUUAAAUUAGUCAUGUGAUAAAUGUAUAAAAGACCAUUUAGUCAACAUUUAUCACUUAGAAGCUUCAAGACAAAUUGACAAAGGAGAAAACAAAAGAAACAAGAGCAAAGGAGAAGGCCAUUCGGCCAUAGCUCCAAAUUUUUGCUCCUUUGAAAUAUUGUUCCAAAAAUUAUUUUUUUGUGGUAUUCCUACUAAUUCAAGGGUCCUCUACAACUUGGUGUAGUUAUUUUGGAAGGAAGGGCACUUGUUUCAUCAAUUUAGCACCUUGGACAAGUGAAGCAGAUAGGAGGAAAAGAUUUUGGGCGAAACGGGAUUUGAAUUUGGACAAGCGUAAAAGGCGAAUAAGGUACACCCAGAUGAUACGAAGUUAUUAUAGAAGAUGUUCCGGCAGAGUUGGCAAGCUCCAUUUGCUCCUGGAGUGCUGCCGAGUCAGAGUUUAUACGUAUGUUUUUCUAGAUUGAUGUUAGAGGCUUUUCAGACAGAGUCGUGGGUAUAGUAUGCCAGUUGUGUAUGCGGCUUCAUCAGCCGAUAUGUCAUUCUGUAUUAUGUGUUAAAUUCUGUAUGAUCACAGAUUCUGUUUGAUUU